GACGAACGCUGGCGGCAUGCCUAAUACAUGCAAGUCGAGCGAACAGAUGAAGUGCUUGCACUUCUGACGUUAGCGGCGAACGGGUGAGUAACACGUAAGGAAUCUACCUAUAAGCGGGGGAUAACAUUCGGAAACGGGUGCUAAUACCGCAUAAUAUCUUCUUCCGCAUGGAAGGAGAUUGAAAGACGGCUCUGCUGUCACUUAUAGAUGACCUUGCGGUGCAUUAGUUAGUUGGUGGGGUAAUGGCCUACCAAGACGAUGAUGCAUAGCCGACCUGGGAGGGUGAUCGGCCACAUUGGGACUGAGACACGGCCCAAACUCCUACGGGAGGCAGCAGUAGGGAAUCUUCCGCAAUGGGCGAAAGCCUGACGGAGCAAUGCCGCGUGAGUGAAGAAGGCCUUCGGGUCGUAAAACUCUGUUAUAAGAGAAGAACAAAUUGUAGAGUAACUGCUACAGUCUUGACGGUAUCCUAUCAGAAAGCCACGGCUAACUACGUGCCAGCCGCCGCGGUAA
This 513-nucleotide ribosomal RNA is filed under the name uncultured bacterium. RNAcentral's name for it is "partial 16S ribosomal RNA". It matches the Rfam family "Bacterial small subunit ribosomal RNA", at positions 28 to 523 of the family's 1533-position model. The record is from RNAcentral.